UCCGCAUUGGUCCAGUGGUUAGGAUUUCAUGCUUUCACCAUGACGGCUGGGGUUCGAUUCCCCGAUGCGGAA
This 72-nucleotide transfer RNA is filed under the name Rhizophagus sp. MUCL 43196. It matches the Rfam family "tRNA". Rfam says of the family: Transfer RNA (tRNA) molecules are approximately 80 nucleotides in length. Their secondary structure includes four short double-helical elements and three loops (D, anti-codon, and T loops). The record is from Rfam by way of RNAcentral. Lineage: Eukaryota; Fungi; Glomeromycota; Glomeromycetes; Glomerales; Glomeraceae.